GAACGAACUUCCGUUAAUUGAUUAUGACGUACUUGUACUGAUUGAGAUUUUAACACGAAGUGAGUGGCGAACGGGUGAGUAACACGUGGGUAACCUGCCCAGAAGUAGGGGAUAACACCUGGAAACAGAUGCUAAUACCGUAUAACAGAGAAAACCGCAUGGUUUUCUUUUAAAAGAUGGCUCUGCUAUCACUUCUGGAUGGACCCGCGGCGUAUUAGCUAGUUGGUGAGGUAAAGGCUCACCAAGGCAGUGAUACGUAGCCGACCUGAGAGGGUAAUCGGCCACAUUGGGACUGAGACACGGCCCAGACUCCUACGGGAGGCAGCAGUAGGGAAUCUUCCACAAUGGACGCAAGUCUGAUGGAGCAACGCCGCGUGAGUGAAGAAGGGUUUCGGCUCGUAAAGCUCUGUUGUUAAAGAAGAACGUGGGUAAGAGUAACUGUUUACCCAGUGACGGUAUUUAACCAGAAAGCCACGGCUAACUACGUGCCAGCAGCCGCGGUAAUACGUAGGUGGCAAGCGUUAUCCGGAUUUAUUGGGCGUAAAGCGAGCGCAGGCGGUCUUUUAAGUCUAAUGUGAAAGCCUUCGGCUCAACCGAAGAAGUGCAUUGGAAACUGGGAGACUUGAGUGCAGAAGAGGACAGUGGAACUCCAUGUGUAGCGGUGAAAUGCGUAGAUAUAUGGAAGAACACCAGUGGCGAAGGCGGCUGUCUGGUCUGCAACUGACGCUGAGGCUCGAAAGCAUGGGUAGCGAACAGGAUUAGAUACCCUGGUAGUCCAUGCCGUAAACGAUGAUUACUAAGUGUUGGAGGGUUUCCGCCCUUCAGUGCUGCAGCUAACGCAUUAAGUAAUCCGCCUGGGGAGUACGACCGCAAGGUUGAAACUCAAAAGAAUUGACGGGGGCCCGCACAAGCGGUGGAGCAUGUGGUUUAAUUCGAAGCUACGCGAAGAACCUUACCAGGUCUUGACAUCUUCUGACAGUCUAAGAGAUUAGAGGUUCCCUUCGGGGACAGAAUGACAGGUGGUGCAUGGUUGUCGUCAGCUCGUGUCGUGAGAUGUUGGGUUAAGUCCCGCAACGAGCGCAACCCUUAUUACUAGUUGCCAGCAUUAAGUUGGGCACUCUAGUGAGACUGCCGGUGACAAACCGGAGGAAGGUGGGGACGACGUCAAAUCAUCAUGCCCCUUAUGACCUGGGCUACACACGUGCUACAAUGGAUGGUACAACGAGUCGCGAGACCGCGAGGUUAAGCUAAUCUCUUAAAACCAUUCUCAGUUCGGACUGUAGGCUGCAACUCGCCUACACGAAGUCGGAAUCGCUAGUAAUCGCGGAUCAGCAUGCCGCGGUGAAUACGUUCCCGGGCCUUGUACACACCGCCCGUCACACCAUGAGAGUUUGUAACACCCAAAGCCGGUGGGGUAACCUUUUAGGAG
RNAcentral lists this ribosomal RNA (1429 nucleotides) under Pediococcus pentosaceus. RNAcentral's name for it is "bacterial SSU rRNA". It matches the Rfam family "Bacterial small subunit ribosomal RNA". Lineage: Bacteria; Bacillati; Bacillota; Bacilli; Lactobacillales; Lactobacillaceae. The record is from RNAcentral.